Molecule: long non-coding RNA, 615 nt
Organism: Oncorhynchus tshawytscha (Chinook salmon)
Lineage: Eukaryota; Metazoa; Chordata; Actinopteri; Salmoniformes; Salmonidae
Source: Ensembl
UGUGUGUUCUGUCCAAUAUUUACCCAGCGUUGGGUUACCAAAUAACCCAAAUUGGGUUGUUUUUAACCCAGUCUAGUUGGACCAAGAACAUGUAUUCAGAAUAGCUUCUGAAGUUUUGAAAUAGUAUUUUAAAGGUCUCGAACAGUCAUUCUGAUUCCUAUGUAAAAUAGAAUUUUGAGUGACUAAAACAUCACCCAUAAUAUUUUUUUUUCAGAUAAAAAUGCUCGGAAUUUGAGAAAAAAAACCUUUUCUCUCAUGUCAAACUACCAGGGAGUCUGAAAAGAAAGACUGAGCAGCCGAUGAGCUAAUUGGCUGGUUGGGUGAGGAGCUAAUAGGCUGGGUGGGCGAGGAGCUAAUAGGCUGGGUGGGUGAGGAGCUAAUAGACUGGGUGGGCGAGGAGCUAAUAGACUGGGUGGGCGAGGAGCUAAUAGACUGGGUGGGCGAGGAGCUAAUAGGCUGGGUGGGCGAGGAGCUAAUAGACUGGGUGGGCGAGGAGCUAAUAGGCUGGGUGAGCGAGGAGCUAAUAGGCUGGGUGGGCGAGGAGCUAAUAGGCUGGGUGGGCGAGGAGCUAAAAGGCUGGGUGGGCGGGGAGUUAAAAGGCUGGCUGGGUGGGGA